AGCUCCAAUAGCGUAUACUAAAGUUGUUGUGGUUAAAAAGCUCGUAGUUGGAUUUGUGGUGUGGGUUUUGUCUGGUCCGGCGGCUGAUGUCGUUUCGUGUACCGGCGGCCCGCUGCCAUGCGGCACCCAGCAAUGGGCGCCCAAUUACUGUGAACAAAUCGGAGCGUUCCAGGCAGACUAACGUCUUGAACACUUCAGCAUGGAAUAAUGCGAUAGGACUCGGGCCCUAUUUCGUUGGCUUUGUCGGCUUGAGUAAUGAUUGAUAGGGACAGUUGGGGGUGCUAGUACUCUGCGGCCAGCGGUGAAAUGCUGUGAUUCGCGGAAGACUGACUAGUGCGAAAGCAUUCACCAAGGAUGUCUUCUUUA
Molecule: ribosomal RNA, 366 nt
Filed under: Trinema sp.
Lineage: Eukaryota; Cercozoa; Imbricatea; Euglyphida; Trinematidae
Description: partial small subunit ribosomal RNA
Rfam family: Eukaryotic small subunit ribosomal RNA
Source: RNAcentral